CUAUAUCUCAACAUACAAUUCAUGUAAACAAUUUAAUAUAAUUCCCCCUUAAUUAAAGCAUACUAGAAUGUGAAGACAUUUCCCCUUAUUCGAUGCAUAGCGCCUAAAUUCUUCCCCCUUUUGGCAUUAGCAAAAAGAGUAUACCAAUUGUUUAUUGAAUUAUUGACGAUACCAAUUGUUAGAAAAAUAAUCAUAUCAACAUCAAAUACUACCAAGUGUUCAUAAAAUCAUACCAAUCAUAAUGACGGUUUUUCAUUAUAUACGAACUGUUAUUUAAACUAAAAAUAUUCAUCAAACCAUGAAUCAAUCAUUUAACAUAAAGAUAAUNN
This 329-nucleotide long non-coding RNA is filed under the name Nicotiana benthamiana. RNAcentral describes it as "long non-coding RNA (NBEN_LNC025396)". Lineage: Eukaryota; Viridiplantae; Streptophyta; Magnoliopsida; Solanales; Solanaceae. The record is from RNAcentral.